UGGGGAAUUUUGGACAAUGGGGGAAACCCUGAUCCAGCCAUCCCGCGUGUGCGAUGAAGGCCUUCGGGUUGUAAAGCACUUUUGGCAGGAAAGAAACGUCAUGGGUUAAUACCCCGUGAAACUGACGGUACCUGCAGAAUAAGCACCGGCUAACUACGUGCCAGCAGCCGCGGUAAUACGUAGGGUGCAAGCGUUAAUCGGAAUUACUGGGCGUAAAGCGUGCGCAGGCGGUUCGGAAAGAAAGAUGUGAAAUCCCAGGGCUCAACUUUGGAACUGCAUUUUUAACUACCGGGCUAGAGUGUGUCAUAGGGAGGUGGAAUUCCGCGUGUAGCAGUGAAAUGCGUAGAUAUGCGGAGGAACACCGAUGGCGAAGGCAGCCUCCUGGGAUAACACUGACGCUCAUGCACGAAAGCGUGGGGAGCAAACAGG
This 429-nucleotide ribosomal RNA is filed under the name Acidobacteriota bacterium. Its description in RNAcentral is "Acidobacteria bacterium partial 16S ribosomal RNA". It matches the Rfam family "Bacterial small subunit ribosomal RNA", at positions 355 to 776 of the family's 1533-position model. Lineage: Bacteria; Pseudomonadati; Acidobacteriota. The record is from RNAcentral.